RNAcentral lists this ribosomal RNA (468 nucleotides) under uncultured bacterium. Its description in RNAcentral is "partial 16S ribosomal RNA". It matches the Rfam family "Bacterial small subunit ribosomal RNA", at positions 28 to 507 of the family's 1533-position model. The record is from RNAcentral.
GACGAACGCUGGCGGCGUGCUUAACACAUGCAAGUCGAACGGAAAGGCCCUGCUUUUGUGGGGUGCUCGAGUGGCGAACGGGUGAGUAACACGUGAGUAACCUGCCCUUGACUUUGGGAUAACUUCAGGAAACUGGGGCUAAUACCGGAUAGGAGCUCCUGCUGCAUGGUGGGGGUUGGAAAGUUUCGGCGGUUGGGGAUGGACUCGCGGCUUAUCAGCUUGUUGGUGGGGUAGUGGCUUACCAAGGCUUUGACGGGUAGCCGGCCUGAGGGGGUGACCGGCCACAUUGGGACUGAGAUACGGCCCAGACUCCUACGGGAGGUAGCAGUGGGGAAUAUUGCACAAUGGGCGGAAGCCUGAUGCAGCAACGCCGCGUGCGGGAUGACGGCCUUCGGGUUGUAAACCGCUUUCGCCUGUGACGAAGCGUGAGUGACGGUAAUGGGUAAAGAAGCACCGGCUAACUACGUG